Molecule: long non-coding RNA, 1691 nt
Filed under: Cricetulus griseus (Chinese hamster)
Lineage: Eukaryota; Metazoa; Chordata; Mammalia; Rodentia; Cricetidae
Description: lncRNA (ENSCGRG00015042034.1)
Source: RNAcentral
CAGAAUCCUGUCUUGUGAUCAUUCUGUCAUGUCUCUUGUCCCCAUUCCCCUCCCUGGACUUCUUGCUCUAGGUUGCUGUCCUGCGGGUUGGGACAACUACACCAGGAGUGAGUUUUUCAUUUUCUUUCUUUUUUUUUUUAACAAUUUAUUGCAUUUAUUUUGUGUCCCUGUGUCUGUGUGUGUGUGCUUGCACUCACAGGGGCAAAAUGGGGGUGUCUGACCUCUUGGAACUGGAGUUACUACUUUUGUGAACCACCUAACAAGGAUGCUGGAAUCCAAACUCCGACAGAGCUGUAAGUCAUCUCAAAUUGGUCACCUCAAACUCCAACCUAUUCAUGAGCAAACCAGAAAGCAGAAUUCCUCCAUCUCUUCAGUUCCUGCCUUGAGCUUCAACCAUGGCUUUGCUGGAUGAUGUACUAUUAAAGUGUAACCCCUUUCCUCACCAAGUUGCAUUUGGUCAUGGUGCUUAUCCCAGAAAUAAUAACCAAACUAGAACAAUGGGGAUCUCAGAGUAGGGAAAAAGAGAUGGAGAAAUAAAUGCUUCCAUGGAGUAGAUGGGAUUUGUCAAACAGUUGUGAGGUUGGAAUAGGUCAACACUGAGGAGGAGAAAACUCUAAUCAAGAGGACUCUUGGCUCUUAGCAUCACAGGGGGCACAUAGUCAACACCAACUACCCAUGUCCAAACCCAUUCAUGAAUGUUUGCUGGGCAUACUUGAAGAAUCGUGGUGUUUACAUUUGUCUAUGCUUAUUUGAUUAGUGUAUGUCUCUCUCCACCUCUGACUAACACCACAUAAGAACUGCGUACUCUUUGUAUCCAUGUAUCUAGACUAUUAUCUAGCAUUUAAUAAGGACACAAUAAAUGUUUUAGUUUGAGUGAAUGAAGGAUGAAAAUAAAGAAUGCUAGUGUAAGAGAGAGUGUAAAGUAGUUGAGAAUAAGUAAUUAGGUUAUUCUACUCACUCUGCUAUUGCUUAAGGGGACAGGAUCUCAGGUAUCCCAGAAUAAUUAUGACUCUAUGUAUCCAGGGAAGACCUUAAAUUCUUGUCCCUCCUGGUUUCAUCUUCCACAAGCAAGUGCCACCAUGCCUUGUAUUAUCUAUGCAUUCUUAGUUAUUGGAAACACUAGUAUACAGUUUACAAUAACAGUAUUUACAUUUUUCUUAACUAGUCAUUUUACAUUUAACAGUAUUUUACAGUCCUCCACUAAAUAAUCUUUGUAGACAUUGUAAGCCAAAAUGCAACAAAACAGACAACAUAAGAAAGACCUUUGAAAUAGAUUUAAAAAAAAAAAAAACAUUGUACUACUUGGAGUUCACCAACAUAGGAUUCAAUAGACAGCCACAGCACUGGGUCCUGGCAGGAACAAUGGCACACAUGGUGUCUAAACAUGGACUAUUUCGGGCUUGAACAAGCCAAGUGUUUUGUAAUAGACAGCAGUCAUCCAAUAUGGGUGCUCCAAACUAGCACCCCUAGAUUCUGCUCCAAGCAGGGGCAGGAAGAACCAUCUUGAUGAUUUUUCUUUUGUCUUUUCUGCAGCCCACUUAAAUAUUCCCAGUUACAGAGCACUCAAAAUAUAAAAGCUGAUUCUACUCCAAGUUUUUUAUUGAAGCACUUAAUUAGCUGAUUAUAUGCAGUGUCUUAGAAUGGGCUAAUUUGAAAAGGAUUGAGUGCCUAAACACCCUGUGAGGCAGCUG